This is a long non-coding RNA of Aethina tumida (small hive beetle), 228 nucleotides long. RefSeq lists it as uncharacterized. NCBI's taxonomy places the organism in Eukaryota, Metazoa, Arthropoda, Insecta, Coleoptera, Nitidulidae. The record is from RefSeq and is a predicted model, not a curated record. The transcript has 2 exons.
UGUGUAGUUGCAAGUCGAGUGAAUUUCGGCGAACCUGUGAGAAUUAAAAGUGUUAGACACGAGUUUUACUGAUGACUUACUUCCAAAUAUCCUGAGAGGACGAUGGCAGUGAUAAGACCGUAAAUAGCCACAGCCUCACAGAAAAUGACGGAGAUCAAGUUCUUGGUUUUGAUCCUGGGCGCCUUGACACCUCCACCAAUAAUACUGACGCCGGUUGUGUGAAUUCCA